UACUCUUGUGGGAUAAGUUUGGCGCGAUAGGUACAUGACAUACCGCCUCAUAAGUCGGCCUGCUACUUCGUGGAAUUCCGUUAUUCUUUCUCCAUUGUGGUGCUUUUUAAACGACUUCUUCAAUACUCGGACUUUCUCUCGGGCAUGGCGAAUGCCUGCGUGGGCGUGGAGUUUUCUUUGUGGAGGGAGGGAAAGGAAAGGAGGGAGGAAGAAGCGAGCACAUGGCGUGCAAGGCUGGAUCGGGCCUGGCCCGCGUGUGCCGGCUUGUGCGCCGACCGCAAGUAACGGCGGACACCCUUUUGUUGUCGUCCCGGUUUACCUCCUCGAUAUCCGUCGUUUUCUCGUCGCGGUCGCGGUGUUUGUUCUGCGUGAGGACGCUUUGGGAGAAGUAUGGCACGGUUUCGUCGAGGACAAUGGCGCCUGCGGGGCCCGGCCAUGUGCUCGAGCACAUGGUCCGCGCGCCCAAACUUUGUCCCCGUCGCGCGCACAAACUUUUACCCAUUGUCCUUCCGCUUGGUUAGCAGGGGGUUGUCGCAUUUGGCUACUGAAGAUCUACACGAGCAUUGCACGGAUCCUUGGUGACAAAACUACACAGAAUAUGGGAUGUGAACCUGACAUCUUACAAGCCUAAACCAGGGUGCCGGUGAAAGCUCGCCGAAUCUUCCUGAAGGACACUGUGCGACUUUCAACGUCGACCAACUAAUGCUGACCUUUGGGUCAUCCGUCUCGACGUGCAUCCAAGGGAUGGCACACACAAUGAAUGAUGUCUUGCCCUGCCUGCAAGAUGAUGAGAGUUUUUUGCGGGGCCGAGAUUCAAAUCUAGGAGAGACAGCUCAAGGGUGAAUGCGCUUACCUUGAAUCUCGAGAUCAUUCUACCAGCCAGCCCAUUAUUUUCAUUCAUUUUAUUCGUUCCCUCUCAGUUUCACCAGAGUGGACAAUUGGUUUGCUGUCCGUCUGUCCAUUCCACCUGUAGUUUUUCAUAAUUUUUCCCCCAUACGCCUCAACGUAUUCAUUUGAAGCUCGGCUCAUGGCUUUACUAUGAUAAGUUACACAACAAGUUCGAGUUUCAGGGUGUUUUUUCAAUUCUUCUCAUAGUUAUACCUUUUAUAAAGUGAGAAAAUAUCACAUUUGCAUGGGUCGGUGUUCAGCUGCCCUGACUCCACCCCCACUGCUUUUCACUCAUUGGAUGGACAGCUGCUGCUGACUCCACCCCAAUAAUAUCAUGUGCUGCCAUUGCAUGAAGCAGCACAGUUCUCCAGGCCUCAAGACUAGUGCUUUGGUGUUAGUCCAUAGAUUACUGAAAUUGGAAUGAUCUCAAGUAUAUUUUCACAAUCUAUACCUUAAGAGCCAUUUGUCUAUCUGUCGAAGUGCGUCACCAUUUUUCUCAGAGAAUGCUGACCGGAUCUUCGUCAAACUUUCAGAGGUUCGUCAGAGAGUGUUUAUGGUGAACAAAAUUUGUGGAACAAAAAUUAGAAAAAAAAAAAAAAAAGAGUUCGAUUUAUUAAUUUAAUUUUUAUUAUUUUAUAUCUGUAUUGUGUCGAAGCCUUUUUGCUGAAUGACUUGUAUGCAAGUGCACAUACAUAUAAAUCAAGACAAAUCAAUUACCAGAUGAUUAAAUACAAAUAAACUUCUUCUGGAAGCAGUCGAAGGAACGUAAAUGUUUUUCUUCCUGAGUGACACCAUCUUCAUAGACCGGGGUCAAUCUUAACCUUGAAACAUCAAUGGCACAUUUACGACCAUCGAUUUGACGAAUAGCAUCUAAUUCCACUUCUCAGUUAACAUUUUUACAAUGCCUCUUAGCCAGUAAUCGACAGGGUAUUUAGAAAGUCCUGUUACCCCCUCUGCAGAACAUGAUAAAUGAAUAUUAUUAGUCCAUGAGGCCGACCACUUUGUCGGUACAAAAUUAGUGCCCGGUUGUGUUUGGUAUCAUUGGAAAGCUU
Eptatretus burgeri (inshore hagfish) is the source of this 1940-nucleotide long non-coding RNA. NCBI's taxonomy places the organism in Eukaryota, Metazoa, Chordata, Myxini, Myxiniformes, Myxinidae. The record is from Ensembl.